GACACAUCACACUCAGCAGGAACCCAGUCUUGGCCAAAGGCGUCCCCCUCCGCUGAAUAUCUGGCAUCACUAUAACCACCAAUCUUGACGUUGCUGCCAUUGAAAAGGGACCAGCACGUGCUUCCAGCAACACCAUUCUCGUUCCCAACCCACCUUGUAUCAGGACCAACAUCAGAGAAAAUUGAAGCUCCAGGUUGGAGUUGAUGAAUAAGGCUAAACCAAUCAUCAAAGAAAUACUCCAUAUCCUUCUCGCCAUCACCUUUUGCACCAUCUAAAAAAACAUAUUUAAUCUCUCCAUAUCUUGUAAGCAACUCAGUCAUUUGACCCAUAUAGUAUUCAUUAUACUCAAGAGUUUCCCCAUAACAAUGCUCAUGCCUAUCCCAUGGAGAAAGAUACAAACCCAAUUCUAAUCCCCCAUUUCUUGCAGCUUCAGCCAAAUCAGCUACAAUAUCACCAACCCCAUUUCUCCAAGGACUUGAUUUAACAGAAUAAUCAGUGUAUUUUGAAGGCCAGAGACAGAAUCCAUCAUGAUGCUUAGCAGUUAAAACUACUCUUUUGAAACCAAAAUCUUUAGCUACUGUAACCCAUUGUGUUGCAUUUAACAAUUUGGGGUUAAAAAUUGAUGGGUCAACAUGACCUGUACCCCAUUCUGAAUCUGUAAAAGUGUUGGUACCAAAGUGAAGGAAAAGGGCCAUUUCUGCAAUUUGCCAUGAGAUUUGACGGGAUUUUGGGAUUGGUAGAAUUGGGAGUGGAGGUGGCUUUCGAUGUGAAGAUGUUGAAAGUUGAAAUAACAAGAGGAUAAUGAUUGUUUUGAGAAAUUGUGUAAUGGGUUUCUUCUUUAUCAUCUUGGGGUUGCCGUUAACCUUUUUUUUUCGCCGGCGAUCACUCUAAAGCUGCCGGAGAGAGGUGGAGUUUACCGGUGACUCCAAGUGUUGACUG
This 939-nucleotide unclassified non-coding RNA is filed under the name Hevea brasiliensis (rubber tree). The record is from RNAcentral. Lineage: Eukaryota; Viridiplantae; Streptophyta; Magnoliopsida; Malpighiales; Euphorbiaceae.